GGGGUUUUGGCCCAGUGGUAAAGCAUCCGUUUGGCAUGGAGAAGGUCCCAGGUUCAAGCCCCGGCAUCUCCC
This 72-nucleotide transfer RNA is filed under the name Sphaerodactylus townsendi. Its description in RNAcentral is "tRNA-Ala". The record is from RNAcentral. Lineage: Eukaryota; Metazoa; Chordata; Lepidosauria; Squamata; Sphaerodactylidae.